This 449-nucleotide ribosomal RNA is filed under the name uncultured bacterium. Its description in RNAcentral is "partial 16S ribosomal RNA". It matches the Rfam family "Bacterial small subunit ribosomal RNA", at positions 354 to 796 of the family's 1533-position model. The record is from RNAcentral.
GUCGAGAAUCUUUCACAAUGGGGGCAACCCUGAUGGAGCGACGCCGCGUGGAGGAUAAGGUCUUCGGAUUGUAAACUCCUGUCAUGCGUGAACAAGGUUGCUUGGUUAAUACCUGGGCAAAUUGAUGGUAACGCAAGAGGAAGAGACGGCUAACUCUGUGCCAGCAGCCGCGGUAAUACAGAGGUCUCAAGCGUUGUUCGGAAUCACUGGGCGUAAAGGGUGCGUAGGUGGCGUGGUAAGUCAGAUGUGAAAGCCCGGGGCUCAACCUCGGAACUGCAUCCGAUACUGCCAUGCUAGAGUACUGGGGAGGUGACUAGAAUUCUCGGUGUAGCAGUGAAAUGCGUAGAUAUCGAGAGGAAUACCAAAGGCGUAGGCAGGUCACUGGACAGUUACUGACACUGAGGCACGAAGGCCAGGGGAGCGAACGGGAUUAGAUACCCCAGUAGUCC